GGGAUGAUUAUUCCUCCUGUCUCUUUAGUGUGACUAAAGGCCAAUCAGCCUUUCUGAGGCAGUCCCUUUCUUAGGUGAUGGACCAGCCCAACUGGAUUAACUCCUAGGUGAGGAGAAGAGGGCAUGUAGACUCUUCUUUUGACCAAAAGGCUGACAUGAUGGAGGACGAGUCUAUCUUAUGAGAGCUGAUAGCACUGGGCUGCCCUCUAGGUAGCACCACAGCUAAAGACUUCAUGUAAGUCAAAGAGAGAAGCUCAAGAACUUCAUGAAAACAAGCAAAUGGAGGAAGCAGACUCUACCGAGGACUGUUCUAUGGAGCCCAUAUGUGACACAGGCACAGCUCAGCCUUGAGACUCGACUUCCCGCAGUGAACACAGUCUCAGGGAAAUACCAGCACCGAGGAACUGCAGCAGUAACCUGUCUGCGCUCCUGCAAAAGCCUCAGAGUGGGAGCCUUGACACCUGCAGUCAGCUCCGGGAUAAUGAAACGGCCCUUUGGAUUUUCCAUCCGAAUCUGUUUUUCCUUUGCACAGAGACUGAACUUCCUUCCAAACGUGUCUCUCACUAGGAAAUGACAACAAUUAUGAGCCCUCUGAGAUUUAAAAUCUGAAACCCAAAUUAUCAAGCCUUAAUAAAAGCCUAAUAAAUUC
Molecule: long non-coding RNA, 649 nt
Organism: Rattus norvegicus (Norway rat)
Lineage: Eukaryota; Metazoa; Chordata; Mammalia; Rodentia; Muridae
Source: RefSeq, a predicted model, not a curated record